UCUAGGAAACGGUACCUCUUUGCGUUAUUUCUCAUCCUUGAUUCACGGUGUCGUACAGGAGAGGACACUUUGCCUCGCAAUAUGUUCAUCGACCGUGUUAUUGCUGACCUCGCAUUACUGUACUCUAGGGAAUUCCCGUUCCCCGUUCUUUCUUCUACCAGCUUCGCAAGACAGACUCUCCGAUUCCAUAGAAAGCCUCUUGAGAUUGAAGUUUAAGCUUUCGUCGUCGCCAUAUUGAGCAGGAUUCUCUCAAAGAACGAACACACUGCUUUACCGCGUUUACUUCCUUUUUUCAUUCUACCAUCACGUCUGCGCAAAAUACAGAAGCAGAUUGAACUUAGGGAAUGCGAAAAUCAGAAGAAGAUUCAGAAGUAUCUCAAGAAUAUGAAGAAGAAGAGGAAGAAGUAUAUAAUAACCGAUUUCAAAAGAGCAAUCAACAUUCCGACAUCACCCUAGUGGUCGAAGGUCGCAAACUUCAUGUUCAUAAAACUUUACUCAUGUUGCAUUCGCCUGUGUUUGAAAGAAUGCUUUUGUCUGACUUCAGAGAAAAAGGGUCUGAAGAGAUUCAGCUUCCAGGAAAGAAAUAUUUUGCAGUGGUCGAUUUUUUUUGGAGCAGAUUUAUCCUGGAAACCCCAUUGACUCAGUCAGUAGAGAAAACAUUGAAGACCUUCUUCAACUCGCAGAUGAAUACGAUGUUGAACAGGUGUUCACAAACUGUACACACUUCAUAGCCACGGAAUUAUGUGGCCAGUGCUCAGGACGAACGAUGUCGACAGAUAAUAUUCUGUUUUAUCUCGGACUGGUUGAGCGAUUCGAGCGACUUCGUUUACUAAGAAAGCCGUUGGUACAUCGAGCAAGUCAGAUACCUGUCCACGAGAUGGAGAAAAGCAAGUACUUUCUCUCUGUGCCUGCCUCAGCUACGAGAGAUGCCUUGCUGCUGCAAAUUAAGUCACGAAAUCGUCGCUGAUUAUUACAAAAGAUUUGGAGAAAAUAACCGAUGCAGAAAUGAUUUAGUCGACUUGGGACUUCUAGUCAAUGCAAACUAAUGAGGAGAUGUAAAGAAAGCCGUAUUGGUAAAUUUCAUUAGCAGCUUGUCAUUUCGUUACUAGUCAUCGUUUAGCAUGCGAAUAACCUUUUUUUAAAAACGACUCUUCUUUCAUAUAUCAACUAUAUUUGUUAUAUCAAGACAGUAUUUAACAAUAAUAUUGGCUGUACAUUGAAUGAGUUUGAUCGAAUACUCAAAGGUUCUCUGUAACGGAAUGGUUUAAAUGUAUGUGUAGCUGUCUGAGAUUAUUAUACAAGAAGUAAACCAUAAAUAACUGUACGUUCAUUUUCUAUUUCAUGUAUCCUCCAUCGCAAAUAAAGGUGUUUUUACUUGCAAUAA
Molecule: long non-coding RNA, 1384 nt
Organism: Pomacea canaliculata
Lineage: Eukaryota; Metazoa; Mollusca; Gastropoda; Architaenioglossa; Ampullariidae
Exons: 2
Source: RefSeq, a predicted model, not a curated record